CAGCCGCCGCGGUAAUACGGGGGGUGCAAGCGUUAUUCGGAAUUAUUGGGCGUAAAGGGCGCGUAGGCGGUCUUGUCGGUCAGAUGUGAAAGCCCAGGGCUCAACCCUGGACGUGCAUUUGAAACAGCAAGACUUGAGUACGGGAGAGGAAAGCGGAAUUCCUGGUGUAGAGGUGAAAUUCGUAGAUAUCAGGAGGAACACCGAUGGCGAAGGCAGCUUUCUGGACCGAUACUGACGCUGAGGCGCGAAGGCGUGGGUAGCGAACAGGAUUAGAUACCCUGGUAGUCCACGCAGUAAACGAUGUUCACUAGGUGUGUCGGAUAUUAAAAUCUGAUGUGCCCAAGCUAACGCAUUAAGUGAACCGCCUGGGGAGUACGGUCGCAAGACUAAAACUCAAAGGAAUUGACGGGGGCCCGCACAAGCGGUGGAGCAUGUGGUUUAAUUCGACGCAACGCGAAGAACCUUACCUGGGUUUGACAUCCUGUGAAAGUCUAAGAGAUUAGACAGUGCCUUCGGGAGCACAGAGACAGGUGCUGCAUGGCUGUCGUCAGCUCGUGUCGUGAGAUGGUUGGUUAAGUCCAGCAACGAGCGCAACCCUUAUCGUUAGUUGCCAGCACGUAAUGGUGGGAACUCUAGCGAGACUGCCCGGGUUAACCGGGAGGAAGGCGGGGAUGACGUCAAGUCCUCAUGGCCCUUAUAUCCAGGGCUACACACGUGCUACAAUGGUAAAUACAGAGGGCAGCGAGCCGGCAACGGUUAGCGAAUCCCUANAAGUUUAUCUCAGUCCGGAUUGGAGUCUGCAACUCGACUCCAUGAAGUUGGAAUCGCUAGUAAUCGCGGAUCAGCAUGCCGCGGUGAAUAUGUUCCCGGGCCUUGUACACACCGCCCGUCACACCAUGAGAGUUGAUUAUACCCGACGUCGUUGGGCCAACCUUUAU
RNAcentral lists this ribosomal RNA (938 nucleotides) under uncultured bacterium. Its description in RNAcentral is "bacterial SSU rRNA". It matches the Rfam family "Bacterial small subunit ribosomal RNA", at positions 509 to 1444 of the family's 1533-position model. The record is from RNAcentral.